This 750-nucleotide ribosomal RNA is filed under the name uncultured archaeon S15-25. RNAcentral describes it as "bacterial SSU rRNA". It matches the Rfam family "Archaeal small subunit ribosomal RNA", at positions 109 to 859 of the family's 1478-position model. The record is from RNAcentral.
CUGACCUUAGGCCUGGGAUAAACCUGGGAAACUGGGUAUAAUACCGGAUAGGCCUCGACUGCUGGAAUGCAUCGAGGCUGAAAGCUCCGGCGCCUAAGGAUGGGUCUGCGGCCUAUCAGGGUAGUAGUGGGUGUAAUGUACCUACUAGCCUACGACGGGUACGGGUCGUGAGAGCGAGAGCCCGGAGAUGGAUUCUGAGACACGAAUCCAGGCCCUACGGGGUGCAGCAGGCGCGAAAACUUUACAAUGCUGGAAACAGCGAUAGGGGGACUUUGAGUGCCAGGAUACAAUUCUGGCUGUCGUCGUGCCUAAAAAGCACGGCAUAGCAAGGGCCGGGCAAGACCGGUGCCAGCCGCCGCGGUAACACCGGCGGCUCGAGUGGUAACCGCUAUUAUUGGGUCUAAAGGGUCUGUAGCCGGCUGAAAAAGUCUCUUGGGAAAUCUGGCUGCUCAACAGUCAGGCUUUCAGGAGAUACUCUUCGGCUCGAGACCGGGAGAGGUGAGAGGUACUUCAUGGGUAGGGGUGAAAUCUUGUAAUCCUUGAAGGACCACCAGUGGCGAAGGCGUCUCACCAGAACGGAUCUGACGGCAAGGGACGAAAGCUAGGGGCACGAACCGGAUUAGAUACCCGGGUAGUCCUAGCCGUAAACGAUACUCGCUAGGUGUCGGCCACGGUGCGACCGUGGUCGGUGCCGUAGGGAAGCCGUGAAGCGAGCCACCUGGGAAGUACGGCCGCAAGGCUGAAACUUAA